GGAAUUUUGCGCAAUGGGCGAAAGCCUGACGCAGCAACGCCGCGUGGAGGAUGAAGGUCUUUGGAUUGUAAACUCCUGUCAGCAGGGAAAAAGGGACUGGGCCUCAUACGUCCGGAACUUGAUUGGACCUGCAGAGGAAGCCCCGGCUAACUCUUUGCCAGCAUCCGCGGUAAUACAGAGGGGGCAAGCGUUAUUCGGAAUUAUUGGGCGUAAAGGGCGCGUAGGCGGCUUUUCAAGUGACGGGUGAAAGCCCUCGGCUUAACCGAGGAACUGCCUGUCAGACUGGAAGGCUUGAGACCGGGAGAGGUGAGUGGAAUUCCCAGUGUAGCGGUGAAAUGCGUAGAUAUUGGGAGGAACACCAGUGGCGAAGGCGGCUCACUGGACCGGAACUGACGCUGAGGCGCGAAAGCGUGGGGAGCAAAC
Molecule: ribosomal RNA, 423 nt
Filed under: uncultured bacterium
Lineage: Bacteria
Description: bacterial SSU rRNA
Rfam family: Bacterial small subunit ribosomal RNA
Source: RNAcentral